AACGAACGCUGGCGGCAGGCCUAACACAUGCAAGUCGAGCGCGCCCUCCGGGGUGAGCGGCGGACGGGUGGGUAACGCGUGGGAACGUGCCCUUCUCUGCGGAAUAGCCUCGGGAAACUGAGAGUAAUACCGCAUACGCCCUUUGGGGGAAAGAUUUAUCGGGGCAGGAUCGGCCCGCGUUGGAUUAGGUAGUUGGUGGGGUAAUGGCCCACCAAGCCGACGAUCCAUAGCUGGUUUGAGAGGAUGAUCAGCCACACUGGGACUGAGACACGGCCCAGACUCCUACGGGAGGGAGCAGUGGGGAAUCUUAGACAAUGGGGGCAAACCUGAUCUAGCCAUGCCGCGUGAGUGAUGAAGGCCUUAGGGUUGUAAAGCUCUUUCAGCUGGGAAGAUAAUGACGGUACCAGCAGAAGAAGCCCCGGCUAACUCCGUG
RNAcentral lists this ribosomal RNA (433 nucleotides) under uncultured bacterium. RNAcentral describes it as "partial 16S ribosomal RNA". It matches the Rfam family "Bacterial small subunit ribosomal RNA", at positions 29 to 507 of the family's 1533-position model. The record is from RNAcentral.